This 76-nucleotide transfer RNA is filed under the name Ahrensia sp. R2A130. Its description in RNAcentral is "tRNA-Met". It matches the Rfam family "tRNA". From Rfam's summary of the family: Transfer RNA (tRNA) molecules are approximately 80 nucleotides in length. Their secondary structure includes four short double-helical elements and three loops (D, anti-codon, and T loops). Lineage: Bacteria; Pseudomonadati; Pseudomonadota; Alphaproteobacteria; Hyphomicrobiales; Ahrensiaceae. The record is from RNAcentral. RNAcentral also lists the same sequence under 4 other names.
GGGUCUGUAGCUCAAUGGUUAGAGCCAGCGGCUCAUAACCGCUUGGUUGGGGGUUCGAGUCCCUCCAGACCCACCA